GCCUGGGUGGCUGAGUCGGUUAAGCAUCUGACUUCGGUUCAAGUCAUGAUCUCACAGUUCGUGGGUUCAAGCCCCGCAUCAGGCU
This 85-nucleotide transfer RNA is filed under the name Felis catus (domestic cat). It matches the Rfam family "tRNA". Rfam says of the family: Transfer RNA (tRNA) molecules are approximately 80 nucleotides in length. Their secondary structure includes four short double-helical elements and three loops (D, anti-codon, and T loops). Further hydrogen bonds mediate the characteristic L-shaped molecular structure. tRNAs have two regions of fundamental functional importance: the anti-codon, which is responsible for specific mRNA codon recognition, and the 3' end, to which the tRNAs corresponding amino acid is attached (by aminoacyl-tRNA synthetases). tRNAs cope with the degeneracy of the genetic code in two manners: having more than one tRNA (with a specific anti-codon) for a particular amino acid; and 'wobble' base-pairing, i.e. permitting non-standard base-pairing at the 3rd anti-codon position. The record is from Rfam by way of RNAcentral. Lineage: Eukaryota; Metazoa; Chordata; Mammalia; Carnivora; Felidae.